Molecule: ribosomal RNA, 589 nt
Filed under: uncultured bacterium
Lineage: Bacteria
Description: bacterial SSU rRNA
Rfam family: Bacterial small subunit ribosomal RNA
Source: RNAcentral
CCUACGGGAGGCAGCAGUGGGGAAUUUUGGACAAUGGGGGCAACCCUGAUCCAGCCAUGCCGCGUGUGUGAAGAAGGCCUUCGGGUUGUAAAGCACUUUCGGCCGGAACGAAAUCGCGCCCGCGAAUAUCGUGCGUGGAUGACGGUACCGGAAGAAGAAGCACCGGCUAACUACGUGCCAGCAGCCGCGGUAAUACGUAGGGUGCAAGCGUUAAUCGGAAUUACUGGGCGUAAAGCGUGCGCAGGCGGCUUCGCAAGUCAGGCGUGAAAUCCCCGAGCUCAACUUGGGAAUGGCGCUUGAAACUGCGAGGCUAGAGUGUGGCAGAGGGAGGUAGAAUUCCACGUGUAGCAGUGAAAUGCGUAGAUAUGUGGAGGAAUACCGAUGGCGAAGGCAGCCUCCUGGGCCAACACUGACGCUCAUGCACGAAAGCGUGGGGAGCAAACAGGAUUAGAUACCCUGGUAGUCCACGCCCUAAACUAUGUCAACUAGUUGUUGGGGGAGUUAAAUCCCUUAGUAACGAAGCUAACGCGUGAAGUUGACCGCCUGGGGAGUAACGGUCGCAAGAUUAAAACUUCAAAUGAAUUGACGG